UACGUAGGGUGCAAGCGUUGUCCGGAAUUAUUGGGCGUAAAGAGCUCGUAGGCGGCUUGUCGCGUCGGCUGUGAAAACCUGGGGCUCAACCCUGGGCCUGCAGCCGAUACGGGCAAGCUAGAAUUCGGUAGGGGAGACUGGAAUUCCUGGUGUAGCGGUGAAAUGCGCAGAUAUCAGGAGGAACACCGGUGGCGAAGGCGGGUCUCUGGGCCGGUACUGACGCUGAGACGCGAAAGCGUGGGGAGCGAACAGG
RNAcentral lists this ribosomal RNA (253 nucleotides) under uncultured bacterium. Its description in RNAcentral is "partial 16S ribosomal RNA". It matches the Rfam family "Bacterial small subunit ribosomal RNA", at positions 524 to 776 of the family's 1533-position model. The record is from RNAcentral.